Molecule: ribosomal RNA, 460 nt
Filed under: uncultured bacterium
Lineage: Bacteria
Description: partial 16S ribosomal RNA
Rfam family: Bacterial small subunit ribosomal RNA
Source: RNAcentral
CCUACGGGAGGCAGCAGUGAGGAAUAUUGGUCAAUGGACGAGAGUCUGAACCAGCCAAGUAGCGUGAAGGAUGACUGCCCUAUGGGUUGUAAACUUCUUUUAUAAAGGAAUAAAACGAGGCACGUGUGCCUUUUUGCAUGUACUUUAUGAAUAAGGAUCGGCUAACUCCGUGCCAGCAGCCGCGGUAAUACGGAGGAUCCGAGCGUUAUCCGGAUUUAUUGGGUUUAACGGGAGCGUAGAUGGGUUGUUAAGUCAGUGGUGAAAGUUUGCGGCUCAACCGUAAAAUUGCAAUUGAUACUGGCAGUCGUGAGUACAGUUGAGGUAGGCGGAAUUCGUGGUGUAGCGGUGAAAUGCUUAGAUAUCACGAAGAACCCCGAUUGCGAAGGCAGCUUACUAAACUGUGACUGACAUUGAUGCUCGAAAGUGUGGGUAUCAAACAGGAUUAGAUACCCCUGUAGUC